Molecule: long non-coding RNA, 1345 nt
Organism: Cryptotermes secundus
Lineage: Eukaryota; Metazoa; Arthropoda; Insecta; Blattodea; Kalotermitidae
Exons: 2
Source: RefSeq, a predicted model, not a curated record
AUUCGUUUUUCGAGUCUGAAAAUAUUCGUACUGCGGGAAGAAGUUCCCCAGAAAAUUAAUCCAUAUGUUAUAACUGAAUAAAAAUAAGCAUGAUAGAUUAUCUUUAGGCAAUUUAAUGAUAAGAAAGGGCUGAUUGCUCUUGCAAUAUAACACGCUUUGUUUAAUUUGGAAGCCAACAUAUCGAUGUGACUUUACAGGACAUAGUAUUAUGAAAUACUAACUAAAAACUUUUGUUCCGUAGUAUUGGAAAUAAUUUUGUUGUUAUAUUUAAUUUGUAUUUCGGAAUUAAUAAUAUAUUUAGAGUGGAAUCCCAUACAAUAGGUUUUGUUCAGAUUUAGUGAGACUAAAUUUGCCUUAAACCAUGUUCCCAGAGCCGUUCCAGUGGAUGUCACAGUAUGUGUAAUGGCGGAUAUAAUGCGAACAGCAGGAAAUUGCACAGGCGGCUGAGUUGAGAACGUAAUAUUAAGUUAUUUGUUAAUUACUGUUGAUCUUAUUGGACUCGAUAUUUCGUUAUGCAACUAAAGUGUUUUUGUUGUGUAUGAGAUCACCUGAUGGUGACCUUCAUUCUUUUUAUAAAAGAUUUGAAAAUAGUAAAUGAAAAAGUGCAAUUAAAAAGAAAAAGAGUAAUUUUAUGUGGGGACUGGAAUUUUGGAAGUGUGUGUACAACUACAAUUAAAAAAACUUGCUGCUGUUAUAUAAUUUGGUAAAUACAGUAACUUCUCCAACUAGAAUUACAAAGAAAUCAUUUACAUUGAUCACUGCCAUCAUAAUAAACAAGUAAUUUUAUGAGUGAAUGAAGAUAAAUAUGAUUAAUGUUCCACACAAUUCUAAACUCCAAUAAGAUUCUGUCACGGAAAUGCCGAAUAAGCACUGGCUUCUGGAACAUUUCAACUCCAAGGAAAGGCAGAUGUUGGUAUACUGAGGAAGAGCUGGAUCUAAAGCUUGGAACAGGAUUUUCCUACGUGUCCCAGAUUGUAGCUGAUGACAAAAUAUUCAAUACUAGAGUUUUGAGACCUGUGCAUGCAGUUGUAACAUGACUUACUUUGCUGCUGGUCUGCAAGUGCUUGCUAUCAAUGUCACCUUCUCCAAGUCAUCUCAUAUACAAGGAUACUUACAUCAAUGGUUGCUACAAACAUUAUGCAAUUCAAGAUGUGUUCUCUGCUGACAUUCAGGAGCCAUUUACACUGCAUGAAUAGCCAUCAAUAAACAAACCUGUCUCUCUCCAUAUACAGGGGAUGGGCAAAAAUAUGGAAAAACCUCGUGAAAUGCAUGCCUGAAUUGAAGUGUUUUAGUGAUGUUUAUAGGUCACGCUGUCAUAUCUGCCCAACACCACUACUUGUACAAC